CCUACGGGCGGCAGCAGUGGGGAAUAUUGCACAAUGGGGGCAACCCUGAUGCAGCGACGCCGCGUGAAGGAAGCAGUCUUUCUGUAUGUAAACUUCUAUCAGCAGGGAAGAAAAUGACGGUACCUGACUCAGACUCCCCGGCUAACUACGUGCCAGCAGCCGCGGUAAUACGUAGGGGACAAGCGUUAUCCGGCUUUACUGGGUGUAAAGGGGGCGUAGGCGGUGAUGAAAGUCAGAAGUGAAAGCCCGCAGCUCAACUGCGGGAUGGCUGUUGAAACUGUAUGACUAGAUUGCAGGAGAGGUAAGUGGAAUUCCUAGUGUAGCGGUGAAAUGCGUAGAUAUUAGGAGGAACACCAGUGGCGAAGGCGGCUUACUGGACUGUAAAUGACGCUGAGGCUCGAAAGCGUGGGGAGCAAACAGGAUUAGAUACCCUAGUAGUC
Molecule: ribosomal RNA, 440 nt
Filed under: uncultured bacterium
Lineage: Bacteria
Description: partial 16S ribosomal RNA
Rfam family: Bacterial small subunit ribosomal RNA
Source: RNAcentral